GAUGAACGCUGGCGGCGUGCCUAAUACAUGCAAGUCGAGCGAACAGAUGAGGAGCUUGCUCCUCUGACGUUAGCGGCGGACGGGUGAGUAACACGUGGAUAACCUACCUAUAAGACUGGGAUAACUUCGGGAAACCGGAGCUAAUACCGGAUAAUAUAUUGAACCGCAUGGUUCAGUAGUGAAAGACGGUUUUGCUGUCACUUAUAGAUGGAUCCGCGCCGCAUUAGCUAGUUGGUAAGGUAACGGCUUACCAAGGCGACGAUGCGUAGCCGACCUGAGAGGGUGAUCGGCCACACUGGAACUGAGACACGGUCCAGACUCCUACGGGAGGCAGCAGUAGGGAAUCUUCCGCAAUGGGCGAAAGCCUGACGGAGCAACGCCGCGUGAGUGAUGAAGGUCUUCGGAUCGUAAAACUCUGUUAUUAGGGAAGAACAAAUGUGUAAGUAACUAUGCACGUCUUGACGGUACCUAAUCAGAAAGCCACGGCUAACUACGUG
This 497-nucleotide ribosomal RNA is filed under the name uncultured bacterium. RNAcentral's name for it is "partial 16S ribosomal RNA". It matches the Rfam family "Bacterial small subunit ribosomal RNA", at positions 28 to 507 of the family's 1533-position model. The record is from RNAcentral.